Long non-coding RNA from Pseudopipra pipra, 1930 nucleotides. RefSeq lists it as uncharacterized. NCBI's taxonomy places the organism in Eukaryota, Metazoa, Chordata, Aves, Passeriformes, Pipridae. The record is from RefSeq and is a predicted model, not a curated record. The transcript is spliced from 2 exons.
GCCCUGGCACAGAGCACAUCCUGGCUGCUGCCUUUCCCUGGAGAGCAGGGGGUCUCCAUGUGCCUCCUUGGGCAGCUCAGCAGCCCUGGGAUGGUGCCCGAGGAGAGGGGGCAGAGGGACCAGCAGGAGCUGCCCCUGUGCCCUGGGGAGGGACCCCCAGCUCUGUUCCUGCAGUUCUCACUCCUGCAGUGACUCUGACAUUUGGAAAAGCCUUCUUUUUUCCCCCUAUGGAUGGAGAAGGACAGUCUGAGCCUUCCUGAGCCUGGGCUUUGGAGCACGAAGCUGGUGAUUUUAAUUACCAGCAGAGAGAAGAAAAGAGAGGGAUUUUUUUACAGCUGGGUAAGUGUUGCAUGGGGCAAGUCAAGAGUUUUUCCUUUUAUAGCCUCUAUCCCACUGUUUGAAUAUAAUCUCUUCUCUGUGUCUGCUGUAAAUACUCUCCUACAACUUCAGAGUGGCUGUGUCCCGACCCUGGGGCUGCUAAAUCCUCUCCCUGCAAAGCCCUGGGCUAAAUCCAGCCCAUACCUGGCAGGGUUAUUCCUGCUCAGGGGGUUCAACACCACUGCAGGGUUUAAAACACGCCUGGGCCUGGCCAAGCCAGGUCAGAAACCCCUGGAAGAAUGGGAAAGUGCAAGCAGGAGAGGAUAAAGGGGCUGCUGCAGCAGCUGGGGAAAAGGAGAUAUAUAUAUGUGUACAUGUUUUUUCAAGAGUGAGAAAGAAUAAGCCUGAGGCUUCGGUCAGCUGUCACCAGGCUGAGAUAAGGAUGGGGGAGUUUAAAUCCCAUUUAGACAGAAUCCUCAGGGAAGGGCUGGAGUGGGGAAGGUGGUGGGAGGCAGCACAGAUCCAGCUGGUGGAAAUCUCUCCUCCAGAGCAGGGAUCAAACCCAGCCACGAGUCCUCCAGCAGGAAGAAAUUGGGGGCCUGAUCUCCCUCCACCACUUUUGAAUCCUUUUUUUGCUGUGAAAGGGCUUUUCUAAGCUUUUGCUGAUGCUUUGGCACCCAAUAAGGUAGAGAAACAAAUGUGAAAUCGAGGGCCAGAGCAUCCAACUCCUUCCCUGUCACUUUAUUAAAAUGGUGUAAAAUAAAUUCCAUCCUCCCAUUUGCUUUCUCUGGAGCUGUGGCUGCUUUUUUGGAGCAGGGAGAAGGUGGAGGCUGCAAGCCCAGGCAGCUCUGGCUCCUCUGCCAAGCAAAGCACAGGGGGAAUGGGACAAAUACAUCAGAAAAAGCCCAUCUUACAAAAUAAAACCUUGAAUCUUCACUUGAAAAUGGAGAAAAAAUCAUUUUCUGGUGCAACUGAAUAGCUAAAGGGGGUUGCAAGGGUGCAACAUAGAACAGUUUGGGUUGGAAGGGACCAUGGCCUUCUCCUCAUCCUCAGCUUCUGCAGAAACAUCUGAUGUCUCCAAAUGGGUGGAUUUUGAGGCAAAAAAAAAAUCCUAGAAGAAGGUGCAAGGGCAGUUUUGAGCCCCCAGCUUUGUCUGUCUUCACGAGAAUCCCAAUUACAGCCGAGUCUGCUCUGAUCCCUGGGGUCCUUCAGCUGUGCUGGGCAGGGGGGGCACAGCCAGGGCAAAACUGAGGCUUUUAUUAUGAGAUAUGGGCCAAGAGGGCCUGAAUCUCAAGGGAAACAAAACUAAAUGGAAAUGUGUGGGUUGAGGAGAGGUUUUUUUGUGGUUUCCCUGACCACCACACUGGAGAGGUGCAGGAAUUCGCACAGGCCAAGUUUUGCAAGUCAUUAAAACAUGGGAGUUUUAACACAGUUAUGACUCCAAACAGUUUUUGUCCAGGAUUAGGAGCAACCCAAGGAGCUGCCAUCCUGCUGCACCCUUGCUGGCCCUGCUCCCUGUAUGUUUUGUGUUGGUCACUGCUGGAACUCCUUGACACAAGGUCUGGUUGCUGAAAUAUCCAGAAAUAAAGAGUUAAAUAACAUCUCUGAGAAA